This 1219-nucleotide long non-coding RNA is filed under the name Diabrotica virgifera virgifera (western corn rootworm). RNAcentral describes it as "uncharacterized LOC126890623". Lineage: Eukaryota; Metazoa; Arthropoda; Insecta; Coleoptera; Chrysomelidae. The record is from RNAcentral.
AUUACGAUUUUCGAUUCACUCAAUUAAAUUUCAUUAAAAUACCCCUCUAGAAAAUUCUUUGGAGACGCCUAUUUAAUCGCCUAGGUGCCUAUUUUCGCAGCGAAGCAAGAGGAAAGCACCGCGCAUGUUUCUAUCGGAUCGAUACGAAUCGAUUUCCGAUAACAUUGAAGAUCAGUUGGUCAGGAAACGGCUCGAAGGACGGAUGGCGCGCCGCUAGUGAGGUGAUUCUCACUUUUAAGUGACGGGAUUGAGACAAAUUUUCGAUGGAAAUCAAAUAAUUAGAAGGAAAUCAAGCGUCAGCUAAUCCCAUCUACAAAACUAGAUAACCAAAGUUAAACAUCUCUUUGGACUUCUUCACAUAACAGAAGUGGAUAUUCCGGCGUGCCUGCCUUGUUUCAAUCCCGUAACUUAGUUAUUUAGUCACACAACGUGACUCUAUCACGUUGAUUAUGUACUACCUAGUUAGAUUGCUAGCCACUCUGUGAUGGUUUAUCCCUAGAGUGGGCUGUUUUUGUUGGAUAAUACACCAUACCGGAUUUUAUUACAACCAGCAUCUUCACCCAGGACCUUGCAGUAGGACUUACUCACCACAGCAGCCAACCGUUUUAUCGUGCCAAAAGGGAAUUUCCUAAGGAAUUCAUCUCUAUGGACUUGCAACCCUACUUUUAACCGACUGUUGUGUAAAAGCUAAGUUUAUUUACUUUUUCAUUAUUUACUUUUGGGUAAGAUAUAUUUGCUACAUUGUAAACUUUUCGUAUGCAUACGAUUAGGAAGAGUACAUAUAUUUUCGUGAUAGACAGGGUUUUAGGUCGUUGGUUUUUUUUUGAUUUAAUAUAAGUAGUAGUUUUAAAUAAAUAAAAUCAGGUCUUGUUUAAUAAUCAUCAAUAAUUGUAUCUUAAAAUUUAAUAGGGAAUCGGGUUGUAAAAUUUUGUCGCGGAUUUUAAAUAGGGAAUACGUCUCGUAGGUUUUUUUUUGUAAAAUAUAUAAAGAGUCACUGACCAACUCAUUUAUAUAGACCUUUUUGCUAUUCCAACGGACUUUUGAUUUGGAUUUUGAUUUUAAUACUUUUGCUUGGCCAGUGAUAGUGGAUAAUUGCUUGUUGAGUGGCCUUUGCGGUCCUAUUUUAUCUUUUCUCCAUCCACUAUCACUGUUAUUACGUUGCGUUAUAUGUAAAGUAUUAUUAUUUAAUAUUUAUUAUUAAUAUAUUUGUAUGUAUUAA